GAGGAGACGCUGGCGGCGUGGAUUAGGCAUGCAAGUCGAACGGUAUCAUCCUUCGGGGGUGAGAGAGUGGCGAACUGGUGAGUAACACGUAGGUUAUCUACCCUCAAGACGGGACAACCCAGGGAAACUUGGGCUAAUACCGGAUGUGAGCAACUUUUAGUUGUUUGAAAGGUGGCGUAAGCUGUCGCUUGGGGAUGAGCCUGCGUCCUAUUAGUUAGUUGGUGAGGUAACGGCUCACCUAGGCAAUGAUAGGUAGGCGGCCUUAACGGGUGGUCGCCCACACUGGGAUUGAGAUACGGCCCAGACUCCUACGGGAGGCAGCAGUCGAGAAUAGUCUACAAUGGUCGGAAGACUGAUAGUGCGACGCCGCGUGAACGAUGAAUCCCUUCGGGGUGUAAAGUUCUUUUAUAUGUGAGCAGUGCUUCUUAUAUUAACAGUAUGGGGAGAGAGAUAUUAGCAUAUGAAUAAGCAACGGCUAACUCCGUG
This 486-nucleotide ribosomal RNA is filed under the name uncultured bacterium. RNAcentral's name for it is "bacterial SSU rRNA". It matches the Rfam family "Bacterial small subunit ribosomal RNA", at positions 27 to 507 of the family's 1533-position model. The record is from RNAcentral.